CCUACGUGCGGCAGCAGUGAGGCAUAUUGGUCAAUGGACGAGAGUCUGAACCAGCCAAGUAGCGUGAAGGAUGACUGCCCUAUGGGUUGUACACUUCUUUUAUAUGGGAAUAAAAUGUUCCACGUGUGGGAUUUUGUAUGUACCAUAUGAAUAAGGAUCGGCUAACUCCGUGCCAGCAGCCGCGGUAAUACUGAGGAUCCGAGCGUUAUCCGGAUUUAUUGGGUUUAAAGGGUGCGUAGGCGGCCUGUUAAGUCAGCGGGAAAAGCCCGGGGCUCAACCCCGGCGAGCUGUUGAAACUGGCUGUCUUGAGAUUUCGAGAGGUAUGCGGAAGGCGCAGUGUAGCGGUGAAAUGCUUAGAUAUUGCGCAGAACGCCGAUUGCGAAGGCAGCAUACCGGCGGCGAUCUGACGCUGAGGCACGAAAGCGUGGGUAUCGAACAGGAUUAGAUACCCCUGUAGUC
RNAcentral lists this ribosomal RNA (459 nucleotides) under uncultured bacterium. Its description in RNAcentral is "partial 16S ribosomal RNA". It matches the Rfam family "Bacterial small subunit ribosomal RNA", at positions 338 to 795 of the family's 1533-position model. The record is from RNAcentral.